CUGAGUUAGGGUGGCUCCGCCGCCCGACCUCCCAACCCUUUGUUUAAACCGACCCACGUUGCUUCGGCGAGCCGCGCCCCUCAGGGGGAGCGCCGGGGGCUUCGCCGCCCCUGGAGAGCGCCCGUCGACAGCCAAUUUUAAACUCUUUACAAAAUACCUACCUAAAACUUGUAUAUCUUCAAUGAUAAAACA
Molecule: unclassified non-coding RNA, 192 nt
Filed under: uncultured Herpotrichiellaceae
Lineage: Eukaryota; Fungi; Ascomycota; Eurotiomycetes; Chaetothyriales; Herpotrichiellaceae
Description: sequence contains ITS1
Source: RNAcentral